Non-coding RNA from Paralichthys olivaceus (Japanese flounder), 448 nucleotides. The record is from RefSeq and is a predicted model, not a curated record. NCBI's taxonomy places the organism in Eukaryota, Metazoa, Chordata, Actinopteri, Pleuronectiformes, Paralichthyidae.
AAUAAUCGAGCCUGACCUCUCUGCCCUCCUGUUUCCUACCCAUCACAUGGUCGCUCACCUUCUGUGUCCACACCACUGACCGGAGGUUGGGGCCUGUCCAGACCCGUCACUGGCUGGGGAGAGAGGGCAGGACCUAAUACAAGUCACCCCUCCCGCCCGGCAACAACGCACCCCAUCCCGUACUCAAAGAGCACGGCUCCGAGGCGGCAGCGGAGAUGAGUGAAGAUGGCAUUGGUGUCACUUGGCAGCCAUUCAUGGGCACCGCUCCCCCCCCCGCCUUCGACCACAUGGGGGAUAUGCAGAGAGACAGAGGCGGAGAGACAAGGAGCCCCAGGAGGCUGCCAACAUAUCCCACCCCUCACAACCUGCACAGGAGGCCUGCAACCCCUCUCACUUCCAUCCACUGGGAUGCCGACAGCUGGAAGAUACGCUACAGUGACUGUGAACU